UACGUAGGGGGCGAGCGUUGUCCGAAUUUACUGGGCGUAAAGCGCGUGUAGGCGGCUCUUUAAGUCAGUUGUGAAAUCUUGCGGCUCAACCGCAAAACUGCGACUGAAACUGGAGGGCUUGAGUUUGGGAGAGGAGAGUGGAAUUCCUGGUGUAGCGGUGAAAUGCGUAGAUAUCAGGAGGAACACCCGUGGCGAAGGCGGCUCUCUGGCCCAACACUGACGCUGAGACGCGAAAGCUAGGGGAGCGAACGGGAUUAGAUACCCUUGUAGUCC
Molecule: ribosomal RNA, 273 nt
Filed under: uncultured prokaryote
Description: partial 16S ribosomal RNA
Rfam family: Bacterial small subunit ribosomal RNA
Source: RNAcentral